This 322-nucleotide ribosomal RNA is filed under the name uncultured eukaryote. RNAcentral's name for it is "partial 18S ribosomal RNA". It matches the Rfam family "Eukaryotic small subunit ribosomal RNA", at positions 1470 to 1796 of the family's 1831-position model. The record is from RNAcentral.
CCCUUAGAUGUCCUGGGCCGCACGCGCGCUACACUGAACGGAUCAGCGCGUUUUCCCUUCCCGAGAGGGACGGGUAACCUGCUGAACCCCGUUCGUGGUAGGGAUCGGGGCUUGCAAUUAUUCCCCGUGAACCAGGAAUGCCCAGUAAGUGCAAGUCAUAAGCUUGCGUUGAUUACGUCCCUGCCCUUUGUACACACCGCCCGUCGCUACUACCGAUUGAAUGGUCCGGUGAAAUCUCCGGACUGGCGUGAGUCGGAGCAAUCUGACAAACGCCGGAAAGUUGAUUAAACCUUACCAUUUAGAGGAAGGUGAAGUCGUAACA